This 254-nucleotide ribosomal RNA is filed under the name uncultured bacterium. RNAcentral's name for it is "partial 16S ribosomal RNA". It matches the Rfam family "Bacterial small subunit ribosomal RNA", at positions 524 to 776 of the family's 1533-position model. The record is from RNAcentral.
CACGUAGGGUGCGAGCGUUGUCCGGAAUUAUUGGGCGUAAAGAGCUCGUAGGCGGUGUGUCGCGUCGGCCGUGAAAACCUGCAGCUUAACUGUGGGCUUGCGGUCGAUACGGGCAUCACUGGAGUUCGGCAGGGGAGACUGGAAUUCCCGGUGUAGUGGUGAAAUGCGUAGAUAUCGGGAGGAACACCAGUGGCGAAGGCGACUUCCUGGCCUGUUCUUGACGCUGAGGCGCGAAAGCUAGGGGAGCAAACGGG